GCUAGGUUCCGGAACCUGACCUGAGCUGGGGCCUGUGCUUCCAGCGGGUGGUGGGGGGCCUGGUGUGCUGGCAUCAAGUAAGCCGACUACCUCGGCAAAGGCUUAGGGACAAGAGACCAGCAGCCUGAACUGGCUGGGGCAUCCGGAAGGCUUAGAUCUUGUGGCCAAGAGUUCAGACCGUGGCGAAGUGGAGAGUGACAUGCAGUUGGAUGGCGGUGACUGCGUGGUCCUGCAACCCUGGUUCCAGUCUGGCAAGCAUUGUAGACCUGGCUGCUGAAGACUGACGGGGCCCAGGGUCCGCUGCCCCCACCGCCAUCACCACCUCGGAACCCAGGGUAACGCUGUCAGUCUUUGAUGAUGUCAGAAGUGGGAUCCAAAGUAGAGCUUAUAAUGACACCUAGGAGUGCUGAGUGACCAAGCAAGGUACCCACCAGGCCGAUUAUGUCCAUUGUUCUCUUGGAGCAGCUGGUCAUCAUGGUAAGUUCUCUCUCAGAUUCAGAAGCUCCGCAUAUUUGUGUUUUGAGCUCUCCAAGUUUCUAUGAGCCCAUUUCUAAUCCAAACUGCGUUUGGAAGUCAUGCCAAAAACUGAACUGGGUCCAGAAUCAAAUUAGAUCUGGUAAUUAAGUGGCUUGGAUCCAGUUAGAGGCCUCUUACAUCUGACUGGGUCAGAAGAAAACCAGUAGUAAAUGGCAAUAAUGCAAGGAUAAAAUUUGGCUUUCACUCUUGAACAAGAUUUUCAUGUAAUAUUAAAGAAUAAUGAAUGUUUUUUUUCAACUUUGAAUAAACUACAGGAAAAAAAAAGAAAGAUACAACAAAAGAUUGUUUGGAAAGCUAAGUCUUCCCUCUAUUAAUGA
Molecule: long non-coding RNA, 854 nt
Filed under: Homo sapiens (human)
Lineage: Eukaryota; Metazoa; Chordata; Mammalia; Primates; Hominidae
Description: non-protein coding LINC01278:30
Source: RNAcentral